Molecule: transfer RNA, 60 nt
Filed under: Priestia megaterium
Lineage: Bacteria; Bacillati; Bacillota; Bacilli; Caryophanales; Bacillaceae
Description: Bacillus megaterium tRNA-Ser
Rfam family: tRNA
About the family: Transfer RNA (tRNA) molecules are approximately 80 nucleotides in length. Their secondary structure includes four short double-helical elements and three loops (D, anti-codon, and T loops). Further hydrogen bonds mediate the characteristic L-shaped molecular structure. tRNAs have two regions of fundamental functional importance: the anti-codon, which is responsible for specific mRNA codon recognition, and the 3' end, to which the tRNAs corresponding amino acid is attached (by aminoacyl-tRNA synthetases). tRNAs cope with the degeneracy of the genetic code in two manners: having more than one tRNA (with a specific anti-codon) for a particular amino acid; and 'wobble' base-pairing, i.e. permitting non-standard base-pairing at the 3rd anti-codon position.
Source: RNAcentral
GGUUAACAUGCCUGCCUGUCACGCAGGAGAUCGCGGGUUCGAUUCCCGUCGGGACCGCCA